Long non-coding RNA from Prinia subflava (tawny-flanked prinia), 2419 nucleotides. RefSeq lists it as uncharacterized. The record is from RefSeq and is a predicted model, not a curated record. The transcript has 3 exons. Lineage: Eukaryota; Metazoa; Chordata; Aves; Passeriformes; Cisticolidae.
AUCUUGUUUUAUUUCUUCAUGACUCUGAACUUCUGUGUUGUAACAUGUCAGAAAAGGACUAUGUCUUUGUUCUUAUUUUGGAUACUUCUGACAAGAAGCAUGUAUUCUUGUUUUCUGACUCUUUCUUUCAAAAAUGGUAAAAACAGAAAGAAACCCACAAAGCAGAGCAAUCCUUUCUUCUGUCUCCAAACUUUUUUCAGUUGAAGGAAGGGAAGGCCACAGUAAUGUGUUCAUGUGUUCCUUUUCUGUUUAUGGGUGUUGCUGCCAAGUAGCUGACCUCCCUGGAUACCGUAGUCUGUCCUUUGAGGGCUGACUCUGCUACAAAACAUCCUCUUCUGGAGGCUCCUGUCACCAUGCCUGUGACAGCCCAAUGGAAAAUGUGGAGUGGCACAUAUGGCCACUUAUUAGGGAAAGAGCAGCAGGCUUGUUGAGUGGAGAUCGCUCUCUGAAUUGGGGAAGGAAUGAAGUGAAUUUUGCGGGACCGUAAAGAUGAAGAUUUUUGGUGUUUUCAUUGAAGAUCACCUUCAUGUCUGUGUAACAUGAUCUUGGAAGAGAAAGAAGCUCAAGCAGUAGGGGGUACUCUUGAAACUUCACCUUUUUUUAGUGUUAGAGAUUCAUGACUGAAAUAUUCAGCAUUGCAUCCAUAUCUCAUCAGUUCAUUUCUGAGGGUUCCUUGGAUAUCCCAGCAGAAGAACUCAGUUCUUCUCUGAAGGCACAUCUCAGAGAUCAAUACCAAUCUGCUGAAAUCUUCCCCCUCUCCUUCUAUAUUGGGGCCAUCCUAAAAUACCAUAGUUCAAGCUCAAGAGUUCUGGUCACCAGAUGCAGGAAAACAAGGCUGUUAAACUUUCCAGGAGAGCUGAAGGACAUAGACUCAGUUCCCAGUGAAACCUAGAGGGAAGAACUGCAAGUUCUCCUCUCCCUGCAACAUUCUGAAACCUGGCAGUUCCUGAUUGUGGCUAAAAGAGAAAUAAAAGGGCAUUUAGUAUAUUCAACUUUGUACACCUAUACACUGUAAGUGAAGAUGUAUUGGACAUCAGUGUGUCAGAAGUUCUAGAAGUACUACAACUGGCUGGCAUGGGUGCUUCCACCAAGGAAACACCCGUGUUCCUACACACCUUGAGCCACCAAGCCUGGCUCUUCCCACAGCAGUGUGCUCCAAUGUCCCUCACUGCUUCUGCAGUACUGGGACGGGAGGGUAGGAGGUAGAUGGGACUUCUUGAGAAGGGAAGCACAAAGUCAGACUGUGAAUACAGGGGAAACUUUCUUGAAGCUUUAAAAUUCCCAACAUUGUGAAAUGGGAGAGGGGAAGCUGACAGGAUUUCCUGAGUAAAUGCCUCAUCAGUUGACUGUAAGCUAUUAUUUUUCCUUUCAAAGGUUUCCACUCUAGUUUUGCAUUUCCUGGUGAGAAUAGAGCAUAAAUUGAUCAAGUUAAAGAAAUCUGGCUAUCAGGCAAUUUGACAGGUUCUGCCUGUUAUUUCUGUCAGAGUCAGAGUCUUCCUGAUGUUGCCUCCCACUACUACUUUGUUUCUGGUGAUAAAAUUAAUAAAACCUAUAUGGUAAAUUUAUUGUCUCUGUUAGUUUCCAUCUGAUGUUUAUGAUUUUUACCUUUGUAUUCUGUGAUAAUACCAAAUCAAAAGUUAGUGUAAGUACAGGAGCAACCAAGCACCAAGCAUAUCUUUUUUUUUUAACGAGUGAAUUUGCAUCACAUCUUUCAUAAUAAGAUUCUUCUAAUCACUAGGAAUAUUGAAUCACUUGAAAUUAUGCUCAGAGUGAACCUGCCUUGAUGAUCCAUGUCCCAGUGGACUUGGUAGCUGUAGCAAAUAGGUUGCUGGUUGUACGUUGUAGAGGAGUCCUCCCAAAAUGUAGAGGAUGAAGUCAAAUGAACGUGUCUUCUGAACUGGAUAAGUUUCUAUCUUGCUGUUUUCACUUGUCCCUUAGAAAUCACAAGAUGGGGGUUUUCUUUGGGCAGCUCAACUGCCUCACACAAUCAUGGAAUUGUUAUCAGUGUGGCAGUAAGAGGUGUGCUGGGCCUCCAAACUGGAAACCUGGUCUUUAGGGAGCUGAACUGCUUCAUUAGAAGAGAUUCCCUGUGAACGAUGCAACAAUUCUCAUACGAAAUGUCUCCAUAGUAGUGAGAGGCUAUGGGAAGCAAGCCAGAAAAUGUGAAGGCUGGGUUACUAUAGGCCAGUUCUCUGUAAGAAUUAAGUAUUUGAUUUGAAUGUGAGAAGUGCUGGUUUCACUGUCAUCUUAAAAGCAGCAUAGGUAAUCCUCAGGAUAAUGAUUGUAUUCAUUCAUGUACACUUGCAUUUAUUUAUAUAUUUGAAAAGCAACCAAUUUUGGUUCACACUUGGCUUUUACAUUUAAUAUACUAUUUCUAGUAAAAGUAGGAAAGAAAACUUACUUGAAGUUGUGUUAUCUG